Molecule: transfer RNA, 87 nt
Filed under: Deltaproteobacteria bacterium
Lineage: Bacteria; Pseudomonadati; Myxococcota; Myxococcia
Description: tRNA-Leu
Rfam family: tRNA
About the family: Transfer RNA (tRNA) molecules are approximately 80 nucleotides in length. Their secondary structure includes four short double-helical elements and three loops (D, anti-codon, and T loops). Further hydrogen bonds mediate the characteristic L-shaped molecular structure. tRNAs have two regions of fundamental functional importance: the anti-codon, which is responsible for specific mRNA codon recognition, and the 3' end, to which the tRNAs corresponding amino acid is attached (by aminoacyl-tRNA synthetases). tRNAs cope with the degeneracy of the genetic code in two manners: having more than one tRNA (with a specific anti-codon) for a particular amino acid; and 'wobble' base-pairing, i.e. permitting non-standard base-pairing at the 3rd anti-codon position.
Source: RNAcentral
GCCGACGUGGUGGAACUGGUAGACACGCUAGCUUGAGGGGCUAGUGGGAGAAAUCUCGUGGGAGUUCGAAUCUCCCCGUCGGCACCA